Molecule: ribosomal RNA, 466 nt
Filed under: Vreelandella stevensii
Lineage: Bacteria; Pseudomonadati; Pseudomonadota; Gammaproteobacteria; Oceanospirillales; Halomonadaceae
Description: partial 16S ribosomal RNA
Rfam family: Bacterial small subunit ribosomal RNA
Source: RNAcentral
CCUACGGGGUGCAGCAGUGGGGAAUAUUGGACAAUGGGCGAAAGCCUGAUCCAGCCAUGCCGCGUGUGUGAAGAAGGCCUUCGGGUUGUAAAGCACUUUCAGUGGGGAAGAAAGCCUUGGGGCUAAUACCCUCGAGGAAGGACAUCACCCACAGAAGAAGCACCGGCUAACUCCGUGCCAGCAGCCGCGGUAAUACGGAGGGUGCGAGGCGUUAAUCGGAAUUACUGGGCGUAAAGCGCGCGUAGGCGGUCUGAUAAGCCGGUUGUGAAAGCCCCGGGCUCAACCUGGGAACGGCAUCCGGAACUGUCAGGCUAGAGUGCAGGAGAGGAAGGUAGAAUUCCCGGUGUAGCGGUGAAAUGCGUAGAGAUCGGGAGGAAUACCAGUGGCGAAGGCGGCCUUCUGGACUGACACUGACGCUGAGGUGCGAAAGCGUGGGUAGCAAACAGGAUUAGAUACCCUGGUAGUC